AGGCAGCUUGCCCCUAUGUCGGAACUUUCUCUCCUAAGCGGAUUUGGAUGCACCCGAUCUAAUCGAGAUUGCCGCCAAGGUGGGCUCCCAUGAUGCCCCAACCAAAGAGCAAAAAGAGGCCCUAGUCUGCCAUUUUAUGUCAAAUUUAUCAACCCCUCAAUCCUUGUCUUAUAGAAACUUUUUAGAGAAAAACCCCUCUAAAGUCCAAAUUUCAAUUUUCUGGGAAAAUUAUUUUUUUGGGCAUUGCAAGAAAUCUUCAAGAAUCGAAAAGGGUUGCUAUCAAUUGAAUGUGAGACUUGAAGCUGAUUUGGUCCGACUUGAAGCUGAUUUGGUCCAACCUUGAUUUGAUUUCCAGAGGUUAGUUUAUUUCGAUUUUGGGUUUGUAUUUGUUGAUGGUUUUUUAUGUUGGGUUUUGGUUCUGUAAUUUAUCCACAAGUUUGGGUUUGGGUUUGUUAUCCUUUUUCAAGAAUGGUUGCUUUUGUGAUUUUUUUCAAGUUUGGUUUUCGAACUUUUGGUUUUCCACAAUUUUUUCAAGUCUGCAUUUGGGUUUGUUGGCCUUUUCAAAGGUCGAGUUUGGGUUGACGACUUUUCAAGAUAGGGUUAUGAAUUAAUGAUUUGUUUAAAUAUUAUGUUUUGGUUUUGAGAAUUUUUUCUUUGGGUUGGAUUUCUUGGCCUUUUCAAGUUUGGUUUCAAUUUUGCAUAUUUUUCAAACUUGAGUUUGGGUUCAUUGACUAUAUUUAAUAUUGAGUUUUGGUUUUGUGAACUUGAAAAAAGUUUUUAAGUUUUGCUUUCUUGAAUCUUUUGGUGUUUGCUUUUGAUUUUUUAUUGCUUUCAUCAAGAUUGGGUUUGUUUUGUUGCACGUAUUCAAGAUUGGGUUUUGGCUUUAUGAAUUUCAAGUUUGGGCAUUUGAUUUGUUGCUUUGAUGACGAUGUUAACCUCCGUCUUGAUGUUGCCCCAUUGGCACCGGAGGAUAUUAGGAGAAAAACGUUGGCCCGUUAUGAAGUGGGCCAAAACAAGAAAGAAGAUAAAAUGUAGAAAUAAGGGGAGACAGGUCAUAUAAUGUGUUUGGGAAGAAAGAAGAUGACUAUUGUGAUGAAGAGGCCAGCCCAAGGUGGGGCUUAACUCGAGUUAGUAAGAAAGGGAGAUUUGAAAAGAAGAUGCCUCACAGAAAGGGGCCCAUGAUUGUUAUGUUAAUCCCCAAUCUUGAGGCUGUGGUGAGAGAUAGGAACAAAACUACUACGAAGAAUAGCUUCAAAGAGGAGAUCAAGGAGUUAUCCCAAUACAUAGCCUGAUGGACAUGUCAAGCAGGC
RNAcentral lists this long non-coding RNA (1310 nucleotides) under Amborella trichopoda. Its description in RNAcentral is "long non-coding RNA (ATRI_LNC002213)". Lineage: Eukaryota; Viridiplantae; Streptophyta; Magnoliopsida; Amborellales; Amborellaceae. The record is from RNAcentral.